This 311-nucleotide small nuclear RNA is filed under the name Jaculus jaculus (lesser Egyptian jerboa). Its description in RNAcentral is "7SK RNA (ENSJJAG00000006255.1)". It matches the Rfam family "7SK RNA". From Rfam's summary of the family: 7SK was discovered as an abundant small nuclear RNA in the mid-70s but a possible function has only recently been suggested. The record is from RNAcentral. Lineage: Eukaryota; Metazoa; Chordata; Mammalia; Rodentia; Dipodidae.
GUGAGGGUGAUCUUGCUACCACAUCUGACACCUCAUUGAUCGCCAGGGUUGAUUUAGUUGAUCUGGCUGGCUAGGUGGGUGUCCCCUUCCUCCUUCACUGUUCCAUGUGUGUCCCUCCCGAAGCUGCACACUCAGUUGAAGAGGACGACCUUCUCCUAAUAGAGGAGGACCAGUCUUCAGUCAAGGGUAUGCAAGUAGCUGCGAUCCCCUGCUAGAACAUCCAAACAGGCUCUCAAGGUUAAUUUCUUUAAACUUGGGGUAACCACGAGUGUAACUCUCUUCAUCACACAUUUAUCCUCUGAAUUUCUUGG